GAGUUUGAUCAUGGCUCAGAUUGAACGCUGGCGGCAGGCCUAACACAUGCAAGUCGAGCGGUAGAGAGAAGCUUGCUUCUCUUGAGAGCGGCGGACGGGUGAGUAAUGCCUAGGAAUCUGCCUGGUAGUGGGGGAUAACGCUCGGAAACGGACGCUAAUACCGCAUACGUCCUACGGGAGAAAGCAGGGGACCUUCGGGCCUUGCGCUAUCAGAUGAGCCUAGGUCGGAUUAGCUAGUUGGUGAGGUAAUGGCUCACCAAGGCGACGAUCCGUAACUGGUCUGAGAGGAUGAUCAGUCACACUGGAACUGAGACACGGUCCAGACUCCUACGGGAGGCAGCAGUGGGGGAAUAUUGGACAAUGGGCGAAAGCCUGAUCCAGCCAUGCCGCGUGUGUGAAGAAGGUCUUCGGAUUGUAAAGCACUUUAAGUUGGGAGGAAGGGCAGUAAAUUAAUAACUUUGCUGUUUUGACGUUACCGGACAGAAUAAGCACCGGCUAACUCUGGCCAGCCG
RNAcentral lists this ribosomal RNA (512 nucleotides) under uncultured bacterium. Its description in RNAcentral is "bacterial SSU rRNA". It matches the Rfam family "Bacterial small subunit ribosomal RNA", at positions 9 to 514 of the family's 1533-position model. The record is from RNAcentral.